GCCUAUGGCCAAAUCACCUUUUAUUAGCCCAAUCUCAUGGAUAUUGGAAGCUAAGUAAGGUUGAGCCUGGAUAGUGCAUGGAUGGGUGACCACGUAUAAAACAGGUGUUAUAGGCU
Molecule: ribosomal RNA, 116 nt
Filed under: Petromyzon marinus (sea lamprey)
Lineage: Eukaryota; Metazoa; Chordata; Hyperoartia; Petromyzontiformes; Petromyzontidae
Source: RNAcentral